AACAAUUUUAGUGGUUGAAGAUUAUAAACCCUAGUUAUCACACUCAAGAAAAUCAUUUUUUUUUUCGAAGAUAUCCAUUUUCAUCAUCCAAAUUAAAAGACUGUCGUCAAGUACUUUUAGAAAAAAAUAGCUAUUCGAACACACCUACUCUGUUUUUGUGAUUCAUUAGAUAGGUAUCUCACUUGACCCAUAUAUUUCAUCUUUUCGUACGGUCAUUUUUUUACGUUAUAAAGUCAACCUGUAGCUUUGAUAUAUAAUAAUGAUAGAAUCUGAAGCGAGAUGCUAUAUAAAAUACUCUUGCUUUGUACGUUUUAAAGACAAAAUAUACACCCAAACAUGCCCUAACAUAAAAAGGUGCACUCGAUUUUUCUCUUUUCGAUACAAUCGUUACCUGUUUUGGGGAAUUUUUUCUUGAUUCACAUAAUGGAAGGGCAGACACGAAAAUUUCUGAACUAUAAGAUUGAUAUGUUCUCCGUCCGUGAUAAAAAAAAAUCGGAGGUUAUGCAUUUUCUACAUCCAACUUAUAGAUACUAUAUAUAAAAAAGAAGAUGUAGUAUUAUUGCCAAUGAGACAACUAUCCAGAAAAGACCAAAAUGACACAAACAUUAACAAUUAUAGGUUACCGUAAGGCCUUCAACAAUGAGCAAAGCCCAUACCGCAUAGUCAGCUAUAAAAGGCCCCGAUAAGAACCAUGUCGUCGACUUGAUAUCUUAUUGUUUUGCAUUACUAUGUAAUAGAUACAUUGAAAACUUAUGCAAAUGGUGUUUUUAAAAUAAGAAAAUUGUCGUUUUAUUUGUUUCUAUUAACUUUUUAAAAUUUUGUUACUAUAUCAAACAUUACAGUUAACAUUUAUCGCUUUCUCGAUGCACACAGAGCUUCGAUUCUUUUGUUCUAUUUCAAAAGUGUUUCCGCCUGCAUAUACCAAGACAAAUUAAGAUUUUAAUCUGCUUCCUCUGGAACCAUACACAUGGGCUCGAUUACCAAAUAUUCAUAUGUAUUAUUAAUGUUUUUAAUGCUCCAUUUAUUGGCAUUAUGUUUUUCUGGUCUGUGCGUACGUUCGUCCGUUCGUCUGUUUGUUUGUCCAGCUUCAAGUUAAAUAAAAUUGAAACUUAGUACACAUUUUCCCUAUAGUAUGAUCUUUUUAAUUCUAAUGCCAAAUUACAGUUUUAUCCCAUUUUCAUAGUCCACUAAACAUAGAAAAUGAUAGUGUAGAUGAGGCAUCCGUGUACUAGGGAC
This 1236-nucleotide long non-coding RNA is filed under the name Mytilus galloprovincialis (Mediterranean mussel). Lineage: Eukaryota; Metazoa; Mollusca; Bivalvia; Mytilida; Mytilidae. The record is from RNAcentral.